AAGACUGUAUUUUCAGAGAUCAUUUCUAUAGCUCUUUACUUGGAAAUGUGUUUUGAAAUUGUUUGUCUCCCAACCCGCGAUGAUGAGCUGUGAUGCUCCUUUCUGAGAAUGAAUUAAAAACUGAGCUGUGACUUUGGUUGCAAACUCUGUUAUUGAUGAGUGUUGUCUAUUGCUUUUGGCAAUGUUGAUGAAAGGGGUCUGAUCUGAGUGGU
This 212-nucleotide small nucleolar RNA is filed under the name Sinocyclocheilus rhinocerous. RNAcentral describes it as "Small nucleolar RNA U3 (ENSSRHG00000035098.1)". It matches the Rfam family "Small nucleolar RNA U3". Rfam says of the family: Small nucleolar RNAs (snoRNAs) are involved in the processing and modification of rRNA in the nucleolus. There are two main classes of snoRNAs: the box C/D class, and the box H/ACA class. U3 snoRNA is a member of the box C/D class. Lineage: Eukaryota; Metazoa; Chordata; Actinopteri; Cypriniformes; Cyprinidae. The record is from Rfam by way of RNAcentral.